Molecule: ribosomal RNA, 466 nt
Filed under: uncultured bacterium
Lineage: Bacteria
Description: partial 16S ribosomal RNA
Rfam family: Bacterial small subunit ribosomal RNA
Source: RNAcentral
GACGAACGCUGGCGGCGUGCUUAACACAUGCCAGUCGAACGGAAAGGCCUCUUUCGGGGGGUACUCGAGUGGCGAACGGGUGAGUAACACGUGAGUAACCUGCCCUUGACUUUGGGAUAACUUCAGGAAACUGGGGCUAAUACCGGAUAGGAGCUCCUGCUGCAUGGUGGGGGUUGGAAAGUUUCGGCGGUUGGGGAUGGACUCGCGGCUUAUCAGCUUGUUGGUGGGGUAGUGGCUUACCAAGGCUUUGACGGGUAGCCGGCCUGAGAGGGUGACCGGCCACAUUGGGACUGAGAUACGGCCCAGACUCCUACGGGAGGCAGCAGCGGGGAAUAUUGCACAAUGGGUGGAAGCCUGAUGCAGCAACGCCGUGUGCGGGAUGACGGCCUUCGGGUUGUAAACCGCUUUCGCUCAUGACGAAGCUUUGUGUGACGGUAGUGGGGAAAGAAGCACCGGCUAACUACGU